Drosophila innubila is the source of this 202-nucleotide long non-coding RNA. RefSeq lists it as uncharacterized. The transcript has 2 exons. The record is from RefSeq and is a predicted model, not a curated record. NCBI's taxonomy places the organism in Eukaryota, Metazoa, Arthropoda, Insecta, Diptera, Drosophilidae.
GUUAAUUUUGGUGGUCACGAGAAGAAUUUUAUAAUUUAAGAUAUGAUCGUUGAACGGGCAUCUUCGUCUUACAGAAAUAUUGCAAACUACCCUUAUGUUAAAUUUGCCCAAUCAUAUGCAAAAAAACAUUACGGCGUGGACGUUAUGGAGAUAUCGAUUAAAAUUGGCAAGGCGUGGAAUAAACUGUCCAAUGCUCAAAGAA